UGGGGAAUUUUGCACAAUGGGGGAAACCCUGAUGCAGCGACGCCGCGGGAUUUAGAAGGCCUUCGGGUUGUAAAAAUCUUUUCUAUGGGAAGAAAAUGACAGUACCAUAGGAAUAAGGACCGGCUAAUUACGUGCCAGCAGCCGCGGUAAUACGUAAGGUCCGAGCGUUGUCCGGAAUCAUUGGGCGUAAAGGGUACGUAGGCGGGUAAGCAAGUUAGAAGUGAAAUCCUAUAGCUCAACUAUCGUAAGCUUUUAAAACUGCUCAUCUUGAGGUAUGGAAGGGAAAGUGGAAUUCCUAGUGUAGCGGUGAAAUGCGCAGAUAUUAGGAGGUAUACCCGUGGCGAAGGCGACUUUCUGGCCAUAAACUGACGCUGAGGUACGAAAGCGUGGGUAGCAAACAGG
This 402-nucleotide ribosomal RNA is filed under the name bacterium. Its description in RNAcentral is "partial 16S ribosomal RNA". It matches the Rfam family "Bacterial small subunit ribosomal RNA", at positions 355 to 776 of the family's 1533-position model. The record is from RNAcentral.